UCAUCUGAUUACACCGAUUCUACCACACAAUCUCAGCCACGGGCUCAGGAUGAAGUGGCCUGAAUCCCAGCACCUGUAAUCAGUGCCUUCUGUAGCUAUGUGUCACCCAGCCAGUCUUUGCUGUACUGCAGGGGGUCCCCACAUCAAUCUUACUGCAGCAAAUGGGAUGGUAAAAAUGUGGUUUUUUCUUUUUUAAUUUAAAUCAACUUAAGUCCAGCUCCUUAACCACUCAGUGUUGUGCCAAUGAUCUAGGAUGUUGGCCCCUUUGGACACUGGCCAUGGUCUACACCACUCACAGCUGAGGCGCCCUUUGUUCUAGCCUGCAUGGUCCCUUGGUUCCAGCAGUUGUGCCAUGCUUGGGAUGGGAGGAGUUGGGAAGACAUGGAGUGUCUGUGUCUGGGGUCCGGCCUUUCCAUUCUGAAAUGGUGAUGAGUAGAAUGUGGAUCUCCCUUAGCCUUGGGACCCACUAACCUUUGUCUUCUUCCAAACCUCCGACCCACCUCUUUUUCUCUUUGCUCUUAAAAUUAUCCCUCUCCUCUUCCCUCUGAGGCCCCUGUCAUCCUCUCUGCAGGUAGCUUCAGUGUUUGCAAAAGACAGAAAAGACUUUGAUUGAAAGUGACUUCUGAUUUCUACUUUAAAAAAUCACCAAGGGAAGGAAAUGCUAAAGGCCUGACUCCUGCUCUGAAAUGAGAAAAAAGGGAAAAUAUAGGGACAUAAAUACAAGUUAGUAUUUUACUCAGUUAUCUUGCUAUAGCCUCUCAAAUUGCCUCCUGUCUCCUGGUACUCUGUCUCAGGAGUAAGCCUUGUGCCUUACAGCAGUAGGCUCUGCACAUAAAAGGAGAUGGCUGUUUUGUUUGUUUUAACAUAAACAGAUUGUUAUACCUAUUGAAUCUCCAAGUUCCCACAACUAUAUUGAUAUGUGGCAAUGCAGUUUCACAACCAGACAGUUCAAUAAACGGUGUCCAGGUUGAAGGGUCAACUAUGUACUUAAAAUUCAACCCUUUUCAAUGGCCUGGGGAGGAGAUGGGAAGGAUGGGAGAGGGUACAAUUACUUGGAAUGCUGAAAAGAAUGAUAAGGUGAGACUCCCUCUCUGCAAGGAGUCUAGAGCUGUUUCUAAAUCUGUUUUGGUUUUGGAUGUGUUGGUGAAUAUGAGUGCAAGCUCUCAGAAGACAUGGCUGAUAAAGUUGCAAGUGUAGAAUUAGAGGUGAAAUUGAUGAGUUGGGUGCUUGAGUUUCUAAGUAGAAGAAUCUGGUGGAAUUCUACCAGAAGAUGAGGAACAUGGUUUAAAGCUCAUCCUUUAGUGAUCUUUGUUUUUGUCCUGAUUUUAUUCCCUUCCUGCUUUACUCUUUGUAAAGAUGUUCCCCCUUAAGAUAUAGGGAAAUGUUCUAUAAGGUAAUAAAGCUAUAUUAAGGCGAACAAAAAGUAAAUGAAUGGAGACUUUUGCUGGAGUUUGAAAAGUUAGCUAUUUUAUAUGUAUGUUUUCUUUGUCUAGUAAAAAUGUACGACUAUUGUUUUAUGGAAUUCCAAUCAGAGACUGUGGGAGACUUUCUUUACUUUGCUAAGCCUUAAUAAUUCACUUACUCUUUUUAUAAGGCAGUGAGAAACAUUCAUUGGUCAAAUGGUUUGUUCAACAAUGUUCUUUCUAUUUUAUUCACAUAGCAUUAACUAAUAAUCUUUCUAUUUUAUUCAUGGUACCAUUGACAUCAUCAACACUUUAUUGAGUGUAACUGGAUUUAUUAUAAUUAAUCACAAUAAACUGCA
This 1762-nucleotide long non-coding RNA is filed under the name Homo sapiens (human). RNAcentral's name for it is "HSALNT0012085". The record is from RNAcentral. Lineage: Eukaryota; Metazoa; Chordata; Mammalia; Primates; Hominidae.